RNAcentral lists this long non-coding RNA (254 nucleotides) under Nicotiana benthamiana. Its description in RNAcentral is "long non-coding RNA (NBEN_LNC005104)". Lineage: Eukaryota; Viridiplantae; Streptophyta; Magnoliopsida; Solanales; Solanaceae. The record is from RNAcentral.
CGGAUAUGGAUUUAAAGUCAGGUCUCUUGGAAGUGGAUGGAAGGUGAGAAUAUUGGCUCUAAACUGAUUUCUAUUGGUAGAAAAGGCUAAAUUUUAGUUGAGAUGGUGUCGCCAGGUUUAUGUGGAUUGGGGUGACGUAGGAUCACCCAAGGAUGUAUGUUGGCAGUGUGCAUUCAGUUAUUUGAGGACCUUGAGGAGAAACUUAGCACGUUCGAGGACGAACGUUUGUUUUAAGAGGGGGAGAAUGUAACGAC